UUGGCUCAGGAUGAACGCUGGCGGCGCGCCUAACACAUGCAAGUCGAACGGUUAAAGCACCUUCGGGUGUGUAUAAAGUGGCGAACGGCUGAGUAACACGUGGGCAACCUGCCCCUCGCACCGGGAUAGCCUCGGGAAACCGUGGUUAAUACCGGAUACUCCGGGACCCCCGCAUGGGGGUGCCGGGAAAGCCCUGACGGCGAGGGAUGGGCCCGCGGCCUGUUAGCUUGUUGGCGGGGUAACGGCCCACCAAGGCGAUUAUGGGUAGCCGGGUUGAGAGACCGACCGGCCAGAUUGGGACUGAGACACGGCCCAGACUCCUACGGGAGGCAGCAGUGGGGAAUA
Molecule: ribosomal RNA, 345 nt
Filed under: uncultured rumen bacterium
Lineage: Bacteria
Description: bacterial SSU rRNA
Rfam family: Bacterial small subunit ribosomal RNA
Source: RNAcentral